Molecule: long non-coding RNA, 580 nt
Filed under: Carica papaya (papaya)
Lineage: Eukaryota; Viridiplantae; Streptophyta; Magnoliopsida; Brassicales; Caricaceae
Description: long non-coding RNA (CPAP_LNC004998)
Source: RNAcentral
UUAAAGUCGACAAGAAGGCGAACCAAGAAGUCCAAAAUGAAGAUCAAACGACCAUGGAGGACUUUGGCCUUAAAAGGCCAAACAUUUGAGACAGAGGAAGAGGGCGACCAAGGAAACCUGACGCCAAGGCAGAAGAAGCUUCCCUUCUUCCGUUGCAACUUUAAUACCAACAUGAAGACUUACCUCCCAUGGAAGUUUCUAGGCUGGAUGGGGAGGAUUACAAUUCAAAAACCAAUAACUAAGAGACUGGAAGAAGAGCUCUGUAACAAAAGGGAAAUUGAGUCCCUAUACCAAGCAGUCGAGGUGUCUUCAUUCAACCCGAGCUCAUCCUCCCCUAUCCCAUUUUAAGUCCUUCAAAUUAUAGCAAGAGUCCUAUUCAAGACUCUCUCAAGAAUCAUUAAAAGAUCAAGGGAAGAGAAAUUGAUUACAUGUAUGCAUCCUAAAUCAAAGAGGAAACCAUGAUCGGCCAAGAGAGGAAGAAUUAUGUUUUAAAUUUAUUUUGUUGCUCUCAUUUCCCUAUUUGAAUUAGGACAAGAUUAUUUAAUUAUUUAAGUUUAAGAUUUCAUUAGAAUUAUGCAAU